RNAcentral lists this ribosomal RNA (468 nucleotides) under uncultured bacterium. RNAcentral's name for it is "partial 16S ribosomal RNA". It matches the Rfam family "Bacterial small subunit ribosomal RNA", at positions 28 to 507 of the family's 1533-position model. The record is from RNAcentral.
GACGAACGCUGGCGGCGUGCUUAACACAUGCAAGUCGAACGGAAAGGCCCUGCUUUUGUGGGGUGCUCGAGUGGCGAACGGGUGAGUAACACGUGAGUAACCUGCCCUUGACUUUGGGAUAACUUCAGGAAACUGGGGCUAAUACCGGAUAGGAGCUCCUGCUGCAUGGUGGGGGUUGGAAAGUUUCGGCGGUUAGGGAUGGACUCGCGGCUUAUCAGCUUGUUGGUGGGGUAGUGGCUUACCAAGGCUUUGACGGGUAGCCGGCCUGAGAGGGUGACCGGCCACAUUGGGCCUGAGAUACGGCCCAGACUCCUACGGGAGGCAGCAGUGGGGAAUAUUGCACAAUGGGCGGAAGCCUGAUGCAGCAACGCCGCGUGCGGGAUGACGGCCUUCGGGUUGUAAACCGCUUUCGCCCGUGACGAAGCGUGAGUGACGGUAAUGGGUAAAGAAGCACCGGCUAACUACGUG